GGAGAACGCUGGCGGCGUGGAUUAGGCAUGCAAGUCGAACGGUAGGAUACCUUCGGGUAUCUGAGAGUGGCGAACGGGUGAGUAACACGUAGGUGAUCUACCCUCAAGAUUGGGACAACCCAGGGAAACUUGGGCUAAUACCGGAUGAAAGCAGCAGUGAUGUUGUUUGAAAGGUGGCGUAAGCUGCCGUUUGGGGAUGAGCCUGCGCUCUAUUAGUUAGUUGGCGGGGUAAAGGCCCACCAAGGCGAUGAUAGAUAGGCGGCCUUAACGGGUGGUCGCCCACACUGGGAUUGAGAUACGGCCCAGACUCCUACGGGAGGCAGCAGUCGAGAAUAGUCUACAAUGGCCGAAAGGCUGAUAGUGCGACGCCGCGUGAACGAAGAAGCCCUUCGGGGUGUAAAGUUCUUUUAUAUGUGAGCAGUGCUUUCUAUGUGAACAGCAUGGGGAGAGAGAUAUUAGCAUAUGAAUAAGCAACGGCUAACUCCGUG
Molecule: ribosomal RNA, 488 nt
Filed under: uncultured bacterium
Lineage: Bacteria
Description: bacterial SSU rRNA
Rfam family: Bacterial small subunit ribosomal RNA
Source: RNAcentral